GAUGAAGAACGCAGCGAAAUGCGAUAAGUAAUGUGAAUUGCAGAAUUCAGUGAAUCAUCGAAUCUUUGAACGCACAUUGCGCCCCUUGGUAUUCCGGGGGGCAUGCCUGUUCGAGCGUCAUUAUAACCCCUCAAGCUCAGCUUGGUGUUGGGGCCUGCCAACUGGCAGCCCUUAAAAUCAGUGGCGGCGCCAUCUGGCUCUAAGCGUAGUAAUUUCUCUCGCUAUAGGGUCCCGGUGGAUGCUUGCCAACAACCCCCAAUUUUCUAUGGUUGACCUCGGAUCAGGUAGGGGUACCCGCUGAACUUAAGCAUAUCAAUAAGCGGAGGA
This 327-nucleotide unclassified non-coding RNA is filed under the name soil metagenome. Its description in RNAcentral is "partial contains 5.8S ribosomal RNA, internal transcribed spacer 2, and large subunit ribosomal RNA". The stretch from base 1 to 120 matches the Rfam family "5.8S ribosomal RNA", at positions 35 to 154 of the family's 154-position model. The record is from RNAcentral.